Molecule: ribosomal RNA, 656 nt
Filed under: uncultured fungus
Lineage: Eukaryota; Fungi
Description: eukaryotic LSU rRNA
Rfam family: 5.8S ribosomal RNA (bases 244-397)
Source: RNAcentral
AGUAAAAGUCGUAACAAGGUCUCCGUAGGUGAACCUGCGGAGGGAUCAUUACACAAAAAAUAUGAAGGCUGUAUGCGCUGGCGCCCUCCGGGCACCAGUGGCGGAGGCUGAAUUAUUUUUCCACCCAUGUCUUUUGCGUACUUGUUGUUUCCUGGGCGGGUUCGCCCGCCGCCAGGACCACACCACAAACCUUUUUUUUUAAAUUGUAAUCAGCGUCAGUAUAACAAAUGUUAAAUCAUUUACAACUUUCAACAACGGAUCUCUUGGUUCUGGCAUCGAUGAAGAACGCAGCGAAAUGCGAUACGUAGUGUGAAUUGCAGAAUUCAGUGAAUCAUCGAAUCUUUGAACGCACAUUGCGCCCUUUGGUAUUCCAAAGGGCAUGCCUGUUCGAGCGUCAUUUGUACCCUCAAGCUUUGCUUGGUGUUGGGCGUUUUUUGUCUUGCCUUGCGGCGGAGACUCGCCUUAAAACGAUUGGCAGCCGGCCUACUGGUUUCGGAGCGCAGCACAGCUUUUGCACUUGCCAACCAGCUAAAGAGGUCAGCAAUCCAUCAAGCCCAUUUCUCACUUUUGACCUCGGAUCAGGUAGGGAUACCCGCUGAACUUAAGCAUAUCAAUAAGCGGAGGAAAAGAAACCAACAGGGAUUGCCCCAGUAACG